UCUUCUUCACCAAAUCAUCCCGUCGGUCCGAGCAAUGUCAUGGUACCGAAGAAACCAAACCUCGAUUACAAAAGCCAAUCGAAGAGUUCAUCUGAGAUCUUCUUCCUCCAUUUGUUUCUCGCACAGUUUCAGUGACCGAUGGAUCAAACUUUCAGAUCAUUUGGGAUUAAGUUGGAGAAACAGAAAUUGAUAGGGAUUGCUUGAGCUUGAGCGUGAAUGUUUUGGAAGUAUAUAGCACAAAAGUUGACCAAGCUAAUCGAUCUAGAGCUCAGCUAAGGCAAGCAAUAGCUGAUGCUGAAUCAUGGGGGAACGUCCUGUGCAUAUUAGCAGUCUGAUCAAAGGCGUUGGGAGCUUGGGACGAUUCUUCUGAACUGGAAUAGAUGCAAAAGA
This is a non-coding RNA of Camelina sativa (false flax), 390 nucleotides long. The record is from RefSeq and is a predicted model, not a curated record. NCBI's taxonomy places the organism in Eukaryota, Viridiplantae, Streptophyta, Magnoliopsida, Brassicales, Brassicaceae.